This is a long non-coding RNA of Bolinopsis microptera, 533 nucleotides long. RefSeq lists it as uncharacterized. The record is from RefSeq and is a predicted model, not a curated record. Lineage: Eukaryota; Metazoa; Ctenophora; Tentaculata; Lobata; Bolinopsidae. The transcript has 2 exons.
AUAAGCGCUUGAGAGAGCGUGAUUUUGGAGUUUGGUCUGGGAAACUUUGGUCAGAAUAUAUUGAUGCCAGCAAAGAUAUGAAAGAUGGUAUUUUUCUGCAUGAUUUGCCUGGAGUUGAAUCCAAUGAAGAAAUGAACAUAAGGCUAAAAGACUUCUUGGCUGAUCUAGUGAAUAUGCAUGAAAAGAGUCCCUAUAAUGAGAAUGUUCUCAUUGUAUCUCAUAAAGGAACGAUAAGAGCACUUGUUUGUCUUCUACUUGAAAACUCCAGUUAUGAUGCUCAUAAUGUACAAUCAACUAAUUGUCCAAUAGGCUACAAUUGUGUGUCACAUUUUGAAUUAGAAAUAAGUGAUAAAACAAUACAAAACUGUAAAGUAUUGAAGCUUUUCGACUGCAGUCAUUUGAUCUGAGAUUGACUUCUUUCCAUAUUUUUUGUGUUGUUAUGUUUCUAGCUUAAUACUAUUUAUACACGUUUUAUCGUCACAAUAAAUUAUUUUUAGAGCAAUUAUUGAACAAUGUUUGUAACCUUCCUGCAA